This 167-nucleotide long non-coding RNA is filed under the name Anas platyrhynchos platyrhynchos (common mallard). RNAcentral's name for it is "lncRNA (ENSAPLG00000031165.1)". Lineage: Eukaryota; Metazoa; Chordata; Aves; Anseriformes; Anatidae. The record is from RNAcentral.
GCAAUGCCAAGAUGAAAAAGCAGAGCUUCCCAAGGAUAAAGAAAGAGUGAGACUGAGAGGAGGACUCAGUGGAAUAUUAUUCUGAUCCCUAGAAGAUUCCUCAGACUGAGGAGAUUGAAGAAGGGAGUGGACACUGAUACCAAGAAGUGAACAGGAGAGAUGGACAA